CGUAGGGUGCAGGCGUUAAUCGGAAUUACUGGGCGUAAAGCGUGCGCAGGCGGUUUGCUAAGACAGGUGUGAAAUCCCGGGCUUAACCUGGGAACUGCGCUUGUUACUGGCAGGCUUGAGUGUGGCAGAGGGGGUGGAAUUCCACGUGUAGCAGUGAAAUGCGUAGAGAUGCGGAGGAACACCGAUGGCGAAGGCAGCCCCCUGGGCUAACACUGACGCUCAUGCACGAAAGCGUGGGGAGCAAACAGGAUUAGAUACCCUGGUAGUCCACGCCCUAAACUAUGUCAACUGGUUGUCGGGGAAGCAAUUCCUUGGUAACGAAGCUAACGCGUGAAGUUGACCGCCUGGGGAGUACGGCCGCAAGGUUA
This 368-nucleotide ribosomal RNA is filed under the name uncultured organism. RNAcentral's name for it is "bacterial SSU rRNA". It matches the Rfam family "Bacterial small subunit ribosomal RNA", at positions 526 to 896 of the family's 1533-position model. The record is from RNAcentral.